This 45-nucleotide non-coding RNA is filed under the name Schistosoma haematobium. Lineage: Eukaryota; Metazoa; Platyhelminthes; Trematoda; Strigeidida; Schistosomatidae. The record is from RNAcentral.
AUCCGGCUGAAGAGUACCGGAUAGGACGAAACGCGUGUCCUAGAU